Molecule: non-coding RNA, 545 nt
Organism: Hydra vulgaris (swiftwater hydra)
Lineage: Eukaryota; Metazoa; Cnidaria; Hydrozoa; Anthoathecata; Hydridae
Source: RefSeq, a predicted model, not a curated record
AGUAACUUUUAAAAUAUUAUGCGAAUGUGAUAUUAGUUUAUAUAUUUUAACUACUCAAUAGUUUACCUUUACAAAAAAAAAGUUUAGUCAAGAUCAUUAUUUAUAAUAUAAACAAAGACUGGUCGUAAAAUAACGAGAAAAAAAUGGUUUCGGAAGCGUGGAAGUACUUUAAUAAAGUUGUGGUAAAUGAUAAGAAGUAUGGAGAUUGCAAAAAAUGUCAUAAAAGAAUCGCUUGUCCAGGAAGCAGCACAAAUGGCCUUAUUGGACACGUCAAAAGUUGCGAGAAAAUAGAUUUAAAACCAUUCAGUUCCAGACCAGUUUUGACUAAAAUGUCAUUAAACGAUCUUCUUGCCAAGUUGACAGCUCUUGACGGGUAUUCGAUUAGGUCCAUAACUCAAUCUGAAACACUAAGAAUGCUUUUUGAAAAUUACGGGCAUAGUUUGCCUAAGAUAUAACUUAUUAGAUAUAACUUGUUCGUUAAAAAGUUGUGAUAAAAAAAAUAUUUAUGUACUAAGAAAUAUAAAAAUAUAAAUUUUUUAAAAUUU